Molecule: long non-coding RNA, 880 nt
Organism: Prosopis cineraria
Lineage: Eukaryota; Viridiplantae; Streptophyta; Magnoliopsida; Fabales; Fabaceae
Exons: 2
Source: RefSeq, a predicted model, not a curated record
CAUUACCAAGCUAUACCACAUAUUGGUAUGGUAGGGUUAUAACCCUUUCUCAGAAAUCCCCUCUUCUUCAUCAUUAUUACCUUCUUGUUCUCUCUCACCUCACCUUCGUGACCUAGCCAACGCCGUCAUCAUUCGUCGAGCUCUGAUCUAGCCUAGAAGUUUGCCUCCACAUCAUUCUUAUCUUCUCAAAUUUUGCCUCUCGUUUGUGUCCUUGCGAGCACUAUUAUCAUCCAUCAAGCUUCGUCUCCUCCUUUUCACCUUCUUGAAUCUUACCUUGCAUUCAUGCCCUUGUGAGUGCGAGUAAAGAGAGCGCCUCUCAUUAAGCAGUAAAGCUCCUCCCUCCCCCAGGUUCAUCAUCCCAGCCUCCCUGCUCUCUUGGUAGUAUGAACUCUAAAUCAGAUUUAGAUCUAUAUAGCUUACUCCCUCUGGUUUUUGAGAUUUUGACUAAUCUCUGCUCUGCUCCUCACGGGUGGGAGAGAGGAAGAGAAUGGAGUAAUGGAGGCAGAGAAUCUCUAGUUCUUACGACAGCAAAUGAAAGGGAAUCUUCAUCUUAUGGCAUGGCAUGCCUGUGUAAGAAGAAGAAAUAGUGCAUAGAAACUGUUUCGAAUCUCGACUCUAACCAUGUGUUAACCCACUCCACCAGCCUACAUAUGGCUUCUGAUGGAAAAUUGUGUUGCCUUUCACUGUUUUCUUUCCCAGGCGAUGACAAGUUUGCAAUUGUUUGUCUCUUUCCUUCUGAUGUUAUUUGUCGUCUUCACUCUAAUUAGUACUUUCUUGCUUUUCAUUUUUGGUUUCAAAGCUUGUAAUUGAAUUAAAGUUGUUUGGAGUUUUGUUGAGUUUUUCCCCUUUAUGUAUCGACAUCUUUGAUUCUUGUCUUAUU